This 362-nucleotide long non-coding RNA is filed under the name Phoenix dactylifera (date palm). RNAcentral's name for it is "long non-coding RNA (PDAC_LNC010751)". Lineage: Eukaryota; Viridiplantae; Streptophyta; Magnoliopsida; Arecales; Arecaceae. The record is from RNAcentral.
UCUCUAGUAUAAAUGUUUGAUGCUGAUUUCAUGCUAAAACUUUAUUGAGCAUAAUACUUAUAAAAUCUUAUGUUAUCCUUUGUGAAGGUAUGAAUGUAAUUCAUCAUGUUAUUAUUAUACCAUUCAUUCCUUAUAUGAUUAUCUGAAAUGUAUUAUGAUUUGCUUUAUAAGUCUCAUAUAUGCAUCAUAGGUUAAACCAUGAUCAUCUCAAAUUGGUUCAAUCAUAAAUGAUUAAUGUGUUAUGAUCAUAAUAAGAAACUUACUUAAAAGUUUUUAUAAUAACAAAUUGUCUUCCUUCUUACAAGUAAUGCUCAAGACUAUUCUAAAAUUCAAAAUCAAUAAAUCUGAUCAUUAAAAUAUUU